AGACCGGUGCCAGCCGCCGCGGUAAUACCGGCGGCUCGAGUGGUGGCCACUAUUACUGGGCUUAAAGCGUCCGUAGCUGGAUUGUUAAGUCUCUUGGGAAAUCCACCGGCUCAACCGAUGGGCGUUCAGGAGAAACUGGCAAUCUAGGGACCGGGAGAGGUGAGAGGUACUCCAGGGGUAGGAGUGAAAUCCUGUAAUCCUUGGGGGACCACCUGUGGCGAAGGCGUCUCACUAGAACGGCUCCGACAGUGAGGGACGAAAGCUGGGGGAGCAAACCGGAUUAGAUACCCGGGUAGUCCCAGCUGUAAACGAUGCGCGUUAGGUGUAUCGGUGACCACGAGUCAUCGAGGUGCCGAAGGGAAACCGUGAAACGUGCCGC
This 379-nucleotide ribosomal RNA is filed under the name uncultured archaeon. RNAcentral's name for it is "bacterial SSU rRNA". It matches the Rfam family "Archaeal small subunit ribosomal RNA", at positions 449 to 827 of the family's 1478-position model. The record is from RNAcentral.